RNAcentral lists this ribosomal RNA (903 nucleotides) under Pediococcus pentosaceus. RNAcentral describes it as "bacterial SSU rRNA". It matches the Rfam family "Bacterial small subunit ribosomal RNA", at positions 50 to 909 of the family's 1533-position model. Lineage: Bacteria; Bacillati; Bacillota; Bacilli; Lactobacillales; Lactobacillaceae. The record is from RNAcentral.
UAUACAUGCAGUCGAACGAACUUCCGUUAAUUGAUUAUGACGUACUUGUACUGAUUGAGAUUUUAACACGAAGUGAGUGGCGAACGGGUGAGUAACACGUGGGUAACCUGCCCAGAAGUAGGGGAUAACACCUGGAAACAGAUGCUAAUACCGUAUAACAGAGAAAACCGCAUGGUUUUCUUUUAAAAGAUGGCUCUGCUAUCACUUCUGGAUGGACCCGCGGCGUAUUAGCUAGUUGGUGAGGUAAAGGCUCACCAAGGCAGUGAUACGUAGCCGACCUGAGAGGGUAAUCGGCCACAUUGGGACUGAGACACGGCCCAGACUCCUACGGGAGGCAGCAGUAGGGAAUCUUCCACAAUGGACGCAAGUCUGAUGGAGCAACGCCGCGUGAGUGAAGAAGGGUUUCGGCUCGUAAAGCUCUGUUGUUAAAGAAGAACGUGGGUAAGAGUAACUGUUUACCCAGUGACGGUAUUUAACCAGAAAGCCACGGCUAACUACGUGCCAGCAGCCGCGGUAAUACGUAGGUGGCAAGCGUUAUCCGGAUUUAUUGGGCGUAAAGCGAGCGCAGGCGGUCUUUUAAGUCUAAUGUGAAAGCCUUCGGCUCAACCGAAGAAGUGCAUUGGAAACUGGGAGACUUGAGUGCAGAAGAGGACAGUGGAACUCCAUGUGUAGCGGUGAAAUGCGUAGAUAUAUGGAAGAACACCAGUGGCGAAGGCGGCUGUCUGGUCUGCAACUGACGCUGAGGCUCGAAAGCAUGGGUAGCGAACAGGAUUAGAUACCCUGGUAGUCCAUGCCGUAACGAUGAUUACUAAGUGUUGGAGGGUUUCCGCCCUUCAGUGCUGCAGCUAACGCAUUAAGUAAUCCGCCUGGGGAGUACGACCGCAAGGUUGAAACUCAAAAGAA